This 426-nucleotide ribosomal RNA is filed under the name uncultured bacterium. RNAcentral's name for it is "partial 16S ribosomal RNA". It matches the Rfam family "Bacterial small subunit ribosomal RNA", at positions 354 to 796 of the family's 1533-position model. The record is from RNAcentral.
GUGAGGAAUUUUCCGCAAUGGGCGAAAGCCUGACGGAGCAAUGCCGCGUGAAGGAUGAAGGCCUAUGGGUUGUAAACUUCUUUUCUCAGAAAAGAAUUAUGACGGUAUCUGAGGAAUAAGCAUCGGCUAACUCUGUGCCAGCAGCCGCGGUAAGACAGAGGAUGCAAGCGUUAUCCGGAAUGAUUGGGCGUAAAGCGUCUGUAGGUUGUUUAAAAAGUAUUCUGUCAAAGAUUAGGGCUUAACCCUAGAUAGGCAGAAUAAACUUUUAAGCUAGAGGUUGGUAGAGGCAGGGGGAAUUCCCGGUGGAGCGGUGAAAUGCGUAGAUAUCGGGAGGAACACCAAAGGCGAAGGCACUCUGCUGGGCCAAUACUAACACUGAGAGACGAAAGCGAGGGGAGCAAAUGGGAUUAGAAACCCGAGUAGUCC